This is a non-coding RNA of Bombyx mori (domestic silkworm), 111 nucleotides long. Lineage: Eukaryota; Metazoa; Arthropoda; Insecta; Lepidoptera; Bombycidae. The record is from RefSeq and is marked provisional.
AAGCCGUUUGUGAUGCUGAUUUGAAGUUUAUGAAUGUUGUAGCCCGGUGGCCUGGUUCUGCACAUGAUGCUACUAUAUUUAAUAAUUCUAUUUUAAGAGGUUUUAUAGACA